GACGAACGCUGGCGGCGUGCUUAACACAUGCAAGUCGAACGAUGAACCCGGAGCUGCUCCGGCGGUAUAGUGGCGAACGGGUGAGUAACACGUGAGUAACCUGCCCUUGACUCUGGGAUAACUGCUAGAAAUGGUAGCUAAUACCGGAUACGACCCUCGGUGGCAUCACCAGGGGGUGGAAAGAAUUUCGGUCAAGGAUGGACUUGCGGCCUAUCAGCUAGGUGGUGAGGUAACGGCAUACCAAGGCGACGACGGGUAGCCGGCCUGAGAGGGUCACGCGCCACACUGGGACUGAGACACGGCCCAGACUCCUACGAGAGGCAGCAGUGGGGAAUAUUGCACAAUGGGCGCAAGCCUGAUGCAGCGACGCCGCGUGGGUGAUGACGGCCUUCGGGUUGUAAACCUCUUUCAGCUAUGACGAAGCGCAAGUGACGGUAGUAGCAGAAGAAGGACCGGCCAACUACGUGCCAGCAGCCGCCGCAG
RNAcentral lists this ribosomal RNA (483 nucleotides) under uncultured bacterium. RNAcentral's name for it is "partial 16S ribosomal RNA". It matches the Rfam family "Bacterial small subunit ribosomal RNA", at positions 28 to 523 of the family's 1533-position model. The record is from RNAcentral.